Molecule: ribosomal RNA, 730 nt
Filed under: Lactiplantibacillus plantarum
Lineage: Bacteria; Bacillati; Bacillota; Bacilli; Lactobacillales; Lactobacillaceae
Description: bacterial SSU rRNA
Rfam family: Bacterial small subunit ribosomal RNA
Source: RNAcentral
UUGAUUGGUGCUUGCAUCAUGAUUUACAUUUGAGUGAGUGGCGAACUGGUGAGUAACACGUGGGAAACCUGCCCAGAAGCGGGGGAUAACACCUGGAAACAGAUGCUAAUACCGCAUAACAACUUGGACCGCAUGGUCCGAGUUUGAAAGAUGGCUUCGGCUAUCACUUUUGGAUGGUCCCGCGGCGUAUUAGCUAGAUGGUGGGGUAACGGCUCACCAUGGCAAUGAUACGUAGCCGACCUGAGAGGGUAAUCGGCCACAUUGGGACUGAGACACGGCCCAAACUCCUACGGGAGGCAGCAGUAGGGAAUCUUCCACAAUGGACGAAAGUCUGAUGGAGCAACGCCGCGUGAGUGAAGAAGGGUUUCGGCUCGUAAAACUCUGUUGUUAAAGAAGAACAUAUCUGAGAGUAACUGUUCAGGUAUUGACGGUAUUUAACCAGAAAGCCACGGCUAACUACGUGCCAGCAGCCGCGGUAAUACGUAGGUGGCAAGCGUUGUCCGGAUUUAUUGGGCGUAAAGCGAGCGCAGGCGGUUUUUUAAGUCUGAUGUGAAAGCCUUCGGCUCAACCGAAGAAGUGCAUCGGAAACUGGGAAACUUGAGUGCAGAAGAGGACAGUGGAACUCCAUGUGUAGCGGUGAAAUGCGUAGAUAUAUGGAAGAACACCAGUGGCGAAGGCGGCUGUCUGGUCUGUAACUGACGCUGAGGCUCGAAAGUAUGGGUAGCAAACA